GAAAUUUAAGAAACCGUCUGUUAAUUUUUAACUAAAAAAGCUAAGAACCGGUUCUUAAAUAAGAUAUUUAAGAGCCGGUUUUUAUUUUAUUUUAGUUAAAAAUUAUGAGACGGUUUCUUAAAUUCC
Brassica oleracea var. oleracea is the source of this 126-nucleotide microRNA precursor. It matches the Rfam family "MIR9563 microRNA precursor family". The record is from Rfam. Lineage: Eukaryota; Viridiplantae; Streptophyta; Magnoliopsida; Brassicales; Brassicaceae.